RNAcentral lists this non-coding RNA (30 nucleotides) under Rattus norvegicus (Norway rat). Lineage: Eukaryota; Metazoa; Chordata; Mammalia; Rodentia; Muridae. The record is from RNAcentral.
UGUGUAGCCCUGGCUGGUAUAGGACUGCUU